AAGCGCCGGAAGGCGCCCAGGCAGCGCCGGGCCUCGGCCCUAAAGGCUCUAAAGCCAAGUUCCUGCGGAAAGCUUCGUGUCCGGGGCUAUCAAGGGGCUGCGGAUGAGGCGCGGCGCACGGUUGGGGGCUGUGCCCCUGCAGCCUCCCUAGUGCAGGGUUACAGCUGCGGAUUCUGCAGAAAGGGGCAGCGCCUGCGCCUGCACUUCGCAGCCUCCGCCCUCCUUGCUCCGCGUGGUGAAGGGAGCAUCACCGCUCAGCAACUUGCUUCCGAGGCAGGUGCACUGGUCUGAUUCCCUUUACUGCUCCGCGCUGCCUGGACCACAGGACAUUUUCCUGAAGACCUGAAGGCCCAAUAGUCUCUCCCAUCACCUC
This 373-nucleotide long non-coding RNA is filed under the name Rattus norvegicus (Norway rat). Its description in RNAcentral is "long non-coding RNA NONRATT030907". Lineage: Eukaryota; Metazoa; Chordata; Mammalia; Rodentia; Muridae. The record is from RNAcentral.